RNAcentral lists this ribosomal RNA (119 nucleotides) under Paramuricea clavata. The record is from RNAcentral. Lineage: Eukaryota; Metazoa; Cnidaria; Anthozoa; Malacalcyonacea; Plexauridae.
GUCUACGACCAUACCACCCGGAAAACACCGGUUCUCGUCUGAUCACCGAAGUUAAGCCUGGUCGGGCGAAGUUAGUACUUGGAUGGGUGACCGCCUGGGAAUACUUCGUGUUGUAGGCU